This 867-nucleotide ribosomal RNA is filed under the name Escherichia coli. RNAcentral's name for it is "partial 23S ribosomal RNA". It matches the Rfam family "Bacterial large subunit ribosomal RNA", at positions 1 to 911 of the family's 2925-position model. Lineage: Bacteria; Pseudomonadati; Pseudomonadota; Gammaproteobacteria; Enterobacterales; Enterobacteriaceae. The record is from RNAcentral.
GUUAAGCGACUAAGCGUACACGGUGGAUGCCCUGGCAGUCAGAGGCGAUGAAGGACGUGCUAAUCUGCGAUAAGCGUCGGUAAGGUGAUAUGAACCGUUAUAACCGGCGAUUUCCGAAUGGGGAAACCCAGUGUGUUUCGACACACUAUCAUUAACUGAAUCCAUAGGUUAAUGAGGCGAACCGGGGGAACUGAAACAUCUAAGUACCCCGAGGAAAAGAAAUCAACCGAGAUUCCCCCAGUAGCGGCGAGCGAACGGGGAGCAGCCCAGAGCCUGAAUCAGUGUGUGUGUUAGUGGAAGCGUCUGGAAAGGCGCGCGAUACAGGGUGACAGCCCCGUACACAAAAAUGCACAUGCUGUGAGCUCGAUGAGUAGGGCGGGACACGUGGUAUCCUGUCUGAAUAUGGGGGGACCAUCCUCCAAGGCUAAAUACUCCUGACUGACCGAUAGUGAACCAGUACCGUGAGGGAAAGGCGAAAAGAACCCCGGCGAGGGGAGUGAAAAAGAACCUGAAACCGUGUACGUACAAGCAGUGGGAGCACGCUUAGGCGUGUGACUGCGUACCUUUUGUAUAAUGGGUCAGCGACUUAUAUUCUGUAGCAAGGUUAACCGAAUAGGGGAGCCGAAGGGAAACCGAGUCUUAACUGGGCGUUAAGUUGCAGGGUAUAGACCCGAAACCCGGUGAUCUAGCCAUGGGCAGGUUGAAGGUUGGGUAACACUAACUGGAGGACCGAACCGACUAAUGUUGAAAAAUUAGCGGAUGACUUGUGGCUGGGGGUGAAAGGCCAAUCAAACCGGGAGAUAGCUGGUUCUCCCCGAAAGCUAUUUAGGUAGCGCCUCGUGAAUUCAUCUCCGGGGGUAGAGCACU